GGACAUGGCUCAGUGGUAGAAUGCUUGCCUAGUAUGCAUGAGGUCUGGGUUCAAUCCCCAAUACUG
Molecule: transfer RNA, 66 nt
Filed under: Marmota monax (woodchuck)
Lineage: Eukaryota; Metazoa; Chordata; Mammalia; Rodentia; Sciuridae
Description: tRNA.Thr
Source: RNAcentral